GGAGGCCUACGGGGGGCAGCAGUGGGGAAUAUUGCACAAUGGGGGAAACCCUGGUGCAGCGACGCCGCGUGAGCGAAGAAGUAUUUCGGUAUGUAAAGCUCUAUCAGCAGGGAAGAAAAAUGACGGUACCUGACUAAGAAGCCCCGGCUAACUACGUGCCAGCAGCCGCGGUAAUACGUAGGGGGCAAGCGUUAUCCGGAUUUACUGGGUGUAAAGGGAGCGUAGACGGCAGCGCAAGUCUGGAGUGAAAUGCCGGGGCCCAACCCCGGAACUGCUCUGGAAACUGUGAAGCUGGAGUGCAGGAG
This 305-nucleotide ribosomal RNA is filed under the name uncultured bacterium. RNAcentral describes it as "bacterial SSU rRNA". It matches the Rfam family "Bacterial small subunit ribosomal RNA", at positions 333 to 654 of the family's 1533-position model. The record is from RNAcentral.